CAAAGGUGAGCCAGUACAGGAUGGACCCGCGUCUGAUUAGCUAGUUGGUAAGGUAACGGCUUACCAAGGCGACGAUCAGUAGCCGACCUGAGAGGGUGAUCGGCCACAUUGGAACUGAGACACGGUCCAAACUCCUACGGGAGGCAGCAGUGGGGAAUAUUGCACAAUGGGCGAAAGCCUGAUGCAGCAACGCCGCGUGAGUGAUGAAGGCCUUCGGGUCGUAAAACUCUGUCCUCAAGGAAGAUAAUGACGGUACUUGAGGAGGAAGCCCCGGCUAACUACGUGCCGGCAGCCGCGGUAAUACGUAGGGGGCUAGCGUUAUCCGGAUUUACUGGGCGUAAAGGGUGCGUAGGCGGUCUUUCAAGUCAGGAGUGAAAGGCUACGGCUCAACCGUAGUAAGCUCUUGAAACUGGGAGACUUGAGUGCAGGAGAGGAGAGUGGAAUUCCUAGUGUAGCGGUGAAAUGCGUAGAUAUUAGGAGGAACACCAGUUGCGAAGGCGGCUCUCUGGACUGUAACUGACGCUGAGGCACGAAAGCGUGGGGAGCAAACAGGAUUAGAUACCCUGGUAGUCCACGCUGUAAACGAUG
Molecule: ribosomal RNA, 588 nt
Filed under: uncultured bacterium
Lineage: Bacteria
Description: bacterial SSU rRNA
Rfam family: Bacterial small subunit ribosomal RNA
Source: RNAcentral